RNAcentral lists this unclassified non-coding RNA (200 nucleotides) under Sordariomycetes sp. RNAcentral's name for it is "partial internal transcribed spacer 2". The record is from RNAcentral. Lineage: Eukaryota; Fungi; Ascomycota; Sordariomycetes.
UUAAGUUCAGCGGGUAUUCCUACCUGAUCCGAGGUCAACCUUGCUAAAAGGGGGGUGUUUAACGGCAAGAUAGCACGCCGCACGACCGGAGCGAGAUGUGUUACUACGCUCGGACAUGACAGCGAGCCCGCCACUGGUUUUGAGGGUCUGCGGGCAGCCGCAGGACCCCAACGCAAGCAGAGCUUGAUGGUUGAAAUGAC